UGGUGCUCCCUGGAGCUGAGC
RNAcentral lists this microRNA (21 nucleotides) under Bos taurus (domestic cattle). RNAcentral describes it as "bta-miR-7862". The record is from miRBase by way of RNAcentral. Lineage: Eukaryota; Metazoa; Chordata; Mammalia; Artiodactyla; Bovidae.